This 468-nucleotide ribosomal RNA is filed under the name uncultured bacterium. RNAcentral describes it as "partial 16S ribosomal RNA". It matches the Rfam family "Bacterial small subunit ribosomal RNA", at positions 28 to 507 of the family's 1533-position model. The record is from RNAcentral.
GACGAACGCUGGCGGCGUGCUUAACACAUGCAAGUUGAACGGAAAGGCCCUGCUUUUGUGGGGUGCUCGAGUGGCGAACGGGUGAGUAACACGUGAGUAACCUGCCCUUGACUUUGGGAUAACUUCAGGAAACUGGGGCUAAUACCGGAUAGGAGCUCCUGCUGCAUGGUGGGGGUUGGAAAGUUUCGGCGGUUGGGGAUGGACUCGCGGCUUAUCAGCUUGUUGGUGGGGUAGUGGCUUACCAAGGCUUUGACGGGUAGCCGGCCUGAGAGGGUGACCGGCCACAUUGGGACUGAGAUACGGCCCAGACUCCUACGGGAGGCAGCAGUGGGGAAUAUUGCACAAUGGGCGGAAGCCUGAUGCAGCAACGCCGCGUGCGGGAUGACGGCCUUCGGGUUGUAAACCGCUUUCGCCUGUGACGAAGCGUGAGUGACGGUAAUGGGUAAAGAAGCUCCGGCUAACUACGUG